This 1481-nucleotide ribosomal RNA is filed under the name uncultured organism. RNAcentral describes it as "SSU rRNA". It matches the Rfam family "Bacterial small subunit ribosomal RNA". The record is from RNAcentral.
ACGAACGCUGGCGGCGUGCCUAAUACAUGCGAGUCGAACGCUUCUUUCCUCCCGAGUGCUUGCACUCAAUUGGAAAGAGGAGUGGCGGACGGGUGAGUAACACGUGGGUAACCUACCCAUCAGAGGGGGAUAACACUUGGAAACAGGUGCUAAUACCGCAUAACAGUUUAUGCCGCAUGGCAUAAGAGUGAAAGGCGCUUUCGGGUGUCGCUGAUGGAUGGACCCGCGGUGCAUUAGCUAGUUGGUGAGGUAACGGCUCACCAAGGCCACGAUGCAUAGCCGACCUGAGAGGGUGAUCGGCCACACUGGGACUGAGACACGGCCCAGACUCCUACGGGAGGCAGCAGUAGGGAAUCUUCGGCAAUGGACGAAAGUCUGACCGAGCAACGCCGCGUGAGUGAAGAAGGUUUUCGGAUCGUAAAACUCUGUUGUUAGAGAAGAACAAGGACGUUAGUAACUGAACGUCCCCUGACGGUAUCUAACCAGAAAGCCACGGCUAACUACGUGCCAGCAGCCGCGGUAAUACGUAGGUGGCAAGCGUUGUCCGGAUUUAUUGGGCGUAAAGCGAGCGCAGGCGGUUUCUUAAGUCUGAUGUGAAAGCCCCCGGCUCAACCGGGGAGGGUCAUUGGAAACUGGGAGACUUGAGUGCAGAAGAGGAGAGUGGAAUUCCAUGUGUAGCGGUGAAAUGCGUAGAUAUAUGGAGGAACACCAGUGGCGAAGGCGGCUCUCUGGUCUGUAACUGACGCUGAGGCUCGAAAGCGUGGGGAGCAAACAGGAUUAGAUACCCUGGUAGUCCACGCCGUAAACGAUGAGUGCUAAGUGUUGGAGGGUUUCCGCCCUUCAGUGCUGCAGCAAACGCAUUAAGCACUCCGCCUGGGGAGUACGACCGCAAGGUUGAAACUCAAAGGAAUUGACGGGGGCCCGCACAAGCGGUGGAGCAUGUGGUUUAAUUCGAAGCAACGCGAAGAACCUUACCAGGUCUUGACAUCCUUUGACCACUCUAGAGAUAGAGCUUUCCCUUCGGGGACAAAGUGACAGGUGGUGCAUGGUUGUCGUCAGCUCGUGUCGUGAGAUGUUGGGUUAAGUCCCGCAACGAGCGCAACCCUUAUUGUUAGUUGCCAUCAUUUAGUUGGGCACUCUAGCGAGACUGCCGGUGACAAACCGGAGGAAGGUGGGGAUGACGUCAAAUCAUCAUGCCCCUUAUGACCUGGGCUACACACGUGCUACAAUGGGAAGUACAACGAGUCGCUAGACCGCGAGGUCACGCAAAUCUCUUAAAGCUUCUCUCAGUUCGGAUUGCAGGCUGCAACUCGCCUGCAUGAAGCCGGAAUCGCUAGUAAUCGCGGAUCAGCACGCCGCGGUGAAUACGUUCCCGGGCCUUGUACACACCGCCCGUCACACCACGAGAGUUUGUAACACCCGAAGUCGGUGAGGUAACCUUUUUGGAGCCAGCCGCCUAAGGUGGGAUAGAUGAUUGGGGU